RNAcentral lists this unclassified non-coding RNA (190 nucleotides) under uncultured Psilocybe. RNAcentral's name for it is "sequence contains ITS1". The record is from RNAcentral. Lineage: Eukaryota; Fungi; Basidiomycota; Agaricomycetes; Agaricales; Strophariaceae.
UUGAAUAAACCUGAUGUGGUUGUUGCUGGCUCUCUCGGGAGCAUGUGCACGCCCGUCAUCUUUAUAUCUCCACCUGUGCACCUUUUGUAGACCUGGGGAUUGAGCAAUCAAUCGUUGGGCCUACGUUUAUCAUAUACCCCAUAGUAUGUAUUAGAAUGUCUCAAUGGGCUUCGUGCCUAUAAACACUAUA